Molecule: microRNA precursor, 92 nt
Organism: Prunus persica (peach)
Lineage: Eukaryota; Viridiplantae; Streptophyta; Magnoliopsida; Rosales; Rosaceae
Rfam family: mir-395 microRNA precursor family
About the family: mir-395 was identified in both Arabidopsis thaliana and Oryza sativa computationally and was later experimentally verified. mir-395 is thought to target mRNAs coding for ATP sulphurylases.
Source: Rfam
AUGGCCCCUAGAGUUCCCUCAAACACUUCAUUGGAGAUUAUAUGCCUCUCUCUACUUUCUACUGAAGUGUUUGGGGGGACCCUUGGAGUCAU